CAGCCGCCGCGGGAAUACGAAGGGGGCUAGCGUUGUUCGGAUUUACUGGGCGUAAAGCGCACGUAGGCGGAUCGAUCAGUCAGGGGUGAAAUCCCAGAGCUCAACUCUGGAACUGCCUUUGAUACUGUCGAUCUGGAGUAUGGAAGAGGUGAGUGGAAUUCCGAGUGUAGAGGUGAAAUUCGUAGAUAUUCGGAGGAACACCAGUGGCGAAGGCGGCUCACUGGUCCAUUACUGACGCUCAUGCACGAAAGCGUGGGGAGCAAACAGGAUUAGAUACCCCCGUAGUCCCUGUCUCUUAUAC
Molecule: ribosomal RNA, 301 nt
Filed under: uncultured bacterium
Lineage: Bacteria
Description: partial 16S ribosomal RNA
Rfam family: Bacterial small subunit ribosomal RNA
Source: RNAcentral